This 497-nucleotide ribosomal RNA is filed under the name uncultured bacterium. RNAcentral describes it as "partial 16S ribosomal RNA". It matches the Rfam family "Bacterial small subunit ribosomal RNA", at positions 28 to 507 of the family's 1533-position model. The record is from RNAcentral.
GAUGAACGCUGGCGGCGUGCCUAAUACAUGCAAGUCGAGCGAACAGAUGAGGAGCUUGCUCCUCUGACGUUAGCGGCGGACGGGUGAGUAACACGUGGAUAACCUACCUAUAAGACUGGGAUAACUUCGGGAAACCGGAGCUAAUACCGGAUAAUAUAUUGAACCGCAUGGUUCAAUAGUGAAAGACGGUUUUGCUGUCACUUAUAGAUGGAUCCGCGCCGCAUUAGCUAGUUGGUAAGGUAACGGCUUACCAAGGCAACGAUGCGUAGCCGACCUGAGAGGGUGAUCGGCCACACUGGAACUGAGACACGGUCCAGACUCCUACGGGAGGCAGCAGUAGGGAAUAUUCCGCAAUGGGCGAAAGCCUGACGGAGCAACGCCGCGUGAGUGAUGAAGGUCUUCGGAUCGUAAAACUCUGUUAUUAGGGAAGAACAAAUGCGUAAGUAACUAUGCACGUCUUGACGGUACCUAAUCAGAAAGCCACGGCUAACUACGUG